This 5041-nucleotide long non-coding RNA is filed under the name Solanum lycopersicum (tomato). RNAcentral's name for it is "partial TCONS_00153852". The record is from RNAcentral. Lineage: Eukaryota; Viridiplantae; Streptophyta; Magnoliopsida; Solanales; Solanaceae.
AGAAACAGUUCAGCCCAGAAUGAAGAAUGAGGCCAACUGAGAGAACACAAAAAUGGAUUUCAUGGAGGAUGGUUGCCAUCUCUGAUUGGCCAAUGAUUUCUCCGUCCGAUGAAAACUAACAACCCUCCUUAUCAAAAAUUCCAAAAAAAGAAAAAAAAAAUUAAUACUUCCUUUGUUCCAUUUUUACUAGGUUUUGCAAAAUGUCCACAAAUUGCUGUAGAAAAGAUGGAAAGAGGCAGUGAUGACAUUGCUGUGUGAUGAUUCUGGGCUGAAAUUUGGGGCAUGGAGAAAACCCGACUCGUAUCUUGGCGGGGCAAAACCAGAAUCAUGCAAAACCGGUUCAUUUUUUUUUUUUUUGCAGCCAUGGCGAUUGUUGUCUUCUUCUCCUCUUGCCCCCAUUUUACACAGAUCUGAGCCUCAUUUUCAAAUUCGGAUGGAAACCCAGUUCAUUUAGCUCAAAAGACUGAGGCAAUCGGAGAAAAUGGGGAUUUUUUUUUCAUCUCCGAUGGUUUGUGAUUGAGUCUUCUCUUUCACAUGCAACUGGUUCUUUUGCAGCCAUGGCGGUUGUUGCCUUCUCUCUGCCCCAAUUUUUUGCAGAUCUGAGCCUCAAUUUCCAACUAGUCCAACUGGAUGUCCCAGGACUCAAAGAGUUUUGAACCUAAAUGAUGAUAAAACCCCAUGUAUGCACACACACAAAAAAAACACUUGAUGAGAAAAUGUCAAAAUGGUCCCUUAUCAGUGCAAUGAUGAUCUUUCAAUCUGUCCUCUUUAGCUAGUAAUUGAGCAUUUAGAGUACCUGGCCAGUAUCUUGGCGGGGCAAUGACCCGGAUGCCUGUGAUUUUGUUGCAUGCAACUUGGAAAUAUUUGCAGCCAUCGUAUGACUGGACUCCGACUUUCUUUACCUGAGCAUAAGAUGGAUCUGAGCCUCAAUUCACUUGUGGGUGUAUUUGGAAUGAAGGAAAAUGUUUUAGUGUUCACUACAAUAAAAGAGACAUUUUGUGGCAAUAGAAUUCCUCUUGCUGGCAAUAUUUAUGGCUGCAAAAACAUUUUGCUGCAAAUUAAGUUAAUGCCAUUGCAUCUUAAGUCGCUAGUGUCUUAAGUGACGUUUAUAUAGAGUGAUGUUUAUAAAUACUCAUAUAGGUUAUUGCCGCCAAAUAUAUUCUAGUAGCGAUUAUAUCAUUGCUGCUAAAUAAUUGCCACAAAAUUCUCUGUUUGUUGUAGUAGAAUCAGCCGUAAAGUGGCUAUCUUGUGUAUAACACCAUACUUAAAUGUGAUCCCAUUGUGGUCUGGAAAGUGGCUACCUUGUGUCAUCUCUACAAAUAAUAAGACCUUCGACAUGAGGCCCAUAAUGAGGCUGUGAUGAUUUUCAUUCUUUACUCAUCAGAUGGUUGAGCUUCAGUAUAUCUUGGCUUGGCAUCUUUUUGGGGGUCUUGCGAGAUAUUGGAGCUAUUUGGGUUUCUACUUCUUACAAAGACUCCUUAAGAUUGCAGCCAUGGUGGGGUUUAGCUUAUGUUUGAGAAAAGGCGAAUCUGAGCCUCCCGAAUCUCUGUUUGUAUAAAACAAUGAGGCUCUUUAUGCUACCCAACUUAUGCUGCAUAACUUAAUCCGUAUGGAACUUAGGCUAAGCGAGACGAAAGGUUCUCCAAACUUAUGCAGAAACAAGAGCUCCUGAUUUUGGGGAAAUCCGUGCUAAAACUUGUUAAUUUAAUGCAUUGAGAAAAUCUGACCUGUAUCUUGGCAGGGCAACCUGGUAUGACAUCAUCGGUAAACUGGCGUUUGCAGCCAUGGCAUUGUUCCUUUCUCUUUGCAUCUUCAUAUACAACAACAUAUGAGCACUAAAGUUGAUGGUAAAUUAUUUCUCAGAUGGUCACUUAACUUAAUGCGGGUACUCAGGAACCUAAAUACCCUAUAGGGUUCAGUCCGAGCAACAUAGAAUCAUUCAAUGAGGCAAUGAAGACAAUCUUUAAGAAUCAGAUAGUUGAACUUUGUUGUAACUUGGUGUGGCAGCUCUAAGGGUCUUUGAGGUAAGAGAACUGUAUUGGUUUUCAUCUCACGAGGCUAUUAAUGCUUUGCUUGCAGCCAUGGCAUAGUAUAGCUUUUUCCUGAGAAAAAGCAAAUCUGAGCCUCCCAAGUAUCUGUUGUGUUUGAGAAUGAGGCUUUUUAUUGAACUCAGGAAUGGUAGAGAUUUUCUAAGGGCGGUUAACUCUUUCUCCUAAGUUCAAUUUUGCCAAUGAAUUUUCCUGUGCUUUUGUAUAAAGUUUACAGCUCUCUCAAUUAGCAGAGCGCUCUUCAUGAUGAUGAUGAUGCUGAUUGAUUGCCAUGAUUAUGGUAAUAAUAAAGGAAAAUACAGUUUUGCCCCUUUAACUUGUGCAAAACCCUGAACUAAACUUUUUGAAUAAGGCUUUGAUGAUAUUUGCCAAGAAGCUCGAAAAUGAGAUUUUAAAACUGAUUCAUAUCUUGUCUAGACAAAGGCAUUUGUGAGGAUGCUUUUUGCAGCCAUGGUGGAUUGGCUCUUUUUUCUGAUUGAUUUUCACUCAAAUCUGAGCCUCUUUCUGUUUAAAGUAUAGUUCUACAAUAUUUAGUCUUUCUUUUUCAUUCAUGGUACGAUCAGUUCAUAUAAGGAAGAGUCCCCUUUGAGAAAGAAGCUUUUAAUGUGUCCAUCUAUACAAUUUCUCCAAAUUGUUAGGUACGUACUGAUAUGAGACAAGGCCAAAGGGAAUGGAAGUGAAUAUUGAGGAUCCGUAUAUUGUUGCUGCAUUUUACUUUUUUGAUCAAGAUUUGUUGCUGCAUUUUUGCACAUUCAAACUUGGAUGUCUUGUUUUAAUCUUGAACGCUCCAAAAUUCAGAGGCAGUGAAGAUUAUUCAUAAUGAAAAUGAAAAGUGAAAAAAAUUAGAGUUGAUUCGUGACCUGGCUUGGCGAGUUCAAUCGGAAGGUCUUAUAAGGCAACUGUUGCUUGAAGCCAGGGCACUGUUCCAACUCUGCUCUUCCUUUUCUUUGAUUAAAUAGGCGAAAAUCUGAGCCUCGUUCUUUGCUUUGUGCAUUUACUUUUUUUUUUACCAGCCUUUCUGGAAAGAGAUUUAGAUUACCAUCGCUCAGUUUCAAAAAAAAAAGAGAAUAGAUUUAGAUUACCAUCACUGUGGAACUUCUGAAAUCAACAGCUCCAUCUGCCAAUGCCAAAAGCCAAAAGUAAAUAAAAAAAAAAGGAUUCUGCAUUAAGUACAUGCAUUUGUACAAUCUUGAUUUGGUUGACGGAAAUUGGAUCCUCCGCAUACAUGAAAAGGUAAUCAUUUUUACCUACAAUUUGUUUUUCUGUUGGUGGAAUAUUGUCAAACUUGACAUGAAUAAUAUUGAAGUACUGUAUGAUUAUUAUGUACUGUAGGUGCAUUGCUAUCUAAAAAGCAUGUUUAAGUAAAUUUGUGCAACUAUCAAUAGUGUCAAUCACUGCUAUUGAAUGCCAACUAAUUCAAUUAUUAGAUGGAAUGACAGUUUAUAUGCAUCCACAAAUCAAGAACUAUUGCUUUGUUCUUAAUUGUUAGUAUAUGCUAUGAAAUGCUCCAUUUACAAUAUAUCUGUUGACAAAUUAUGUGCUUUUUUGGGGGUCAUUUUUUGUUGUUGUAAUUGCAGCAUCCACUGAAUCAGUGACGUAGCCGGAAUAAGCUAAGCACAUACUCACAUGUCCGCUACCUAAACUUGGAACUGUUGGGAAAUUAUUGAUCAAAAGCACCAUAUUGGCCAAGUUAAUGGUGUAUUCUCAUUCCUGAUUAGAGGUACCAGAUGGGCAAAUUAAUUGGUAGGUGAGCACUUUUAACACUUGUUAUUAUAUAUAUUAGUCAAUGUCUUAGAAGGUAUUAAUGUCCCUGAAACACUUUCAAUGCCUUUUGAGGAAGUUUGAUAAUCAGUAGCUAUUUAAUUUGAGAAAGAAUAUUUUAAUACAAUUAAUUUAAAGACAAUUUAAGAUUUUUAUUUUUUUUAACUUUAUUAUUUUUAUUCUUAUUAACACAUAAAGAAACCUACAAUCAAUUGGAAAACAAAAAAUUUGACACGUUAGAUAUAUCUUUUAAUUUAUUUAAUUAUAAUUAUCAUAUGUUGUUAUUUGUCUUAAAUCUUUGUUAUUCUUUCAUUAAUAAUUUGUUCUUAAAAAUAUUACAUAUGUUAUUAAAAUUUGGUUCAACAAUUAGAUACAACGUUCUCAUAUUUUUUAAAUAUUAACUGUGCAUUGGAAUUCAACCCUACCAAAUCCUAAUUGAAGAAUGAAUUGGUCAAAGCAAUAAAUAUAGAGAGAAGAGGAAGCUCCAAAUGACCCAAAAGAAUAGGUUUGUACCCCUAACAUUCAAACGUAUUGUUUUAUAAUGUAUCGUAUUACAUAUUUAUAUUAUUUUGAUGAGUAUAACUGUUGGAUAGAACAAUAAUUCGAAGAAUAAAUCUAUUAGAAAAAUGAAUUAAACCUAAGCUACUAUGAUUUUCUUUUUUUGAAUUUGCAAGGGAAAGCUGUCAAAGACAGGAAAGCUGAUGGAUGUUGAUAAUCAUCAGAUGAGGUGUACGGAGAGAUACAGUUGCUAGAGCCAAUGAUGGAAAAUGUCAAAGGUUUCACCAACCAUGGAGUUUCAAUAUUAGGAGGAAUGCUUUGCUUUUAUUACACUCAUGCUCCUUCUAACUCGAGAGAGACUACUCUUAAGUUAUGGGUAAUGAAGGAUUACAGUGUCAAAGGAGUCUUGGAUACCAUUAUAUAUACUAUACAAGAUAACGUUUUGCAUUUACUUAGACCGAUAUAUAUGUUUGCAGAUGGUGAAGUGCUACUCAACUACAGAUGUAUAGACCAAGUAGGGUUUAACUUCCCGUUUAGGACAUCCAAAGGACCACUAAAAUUAUGGCACAAAUAUAAUAUCCUAAAGCAAGGAAUUAUUUAUACGAUCUCUCCAAAAUCACUUAUUAGCGCUUGCUUAUGUAUGAUAGACAUUUUUUAAUUUUAUCGGUUUUCGAGUAUAUCAUGUAACAAACUCUUAAUUUUGAUAAGUUUAUCUAUUGCACACUAAUUUUUGU